This 1343-nucleotide ribosomal RNA is filed under the name uncultured bacterium. RNAcentral's name for it is "16S ribosomal RNA". It matches the Rfam family "Bacterial small subunit ribosomal RNA", at positions 28 to 1378 of the family's 1533-position model. The record is from RNAcentral.
GACGAACGCUGGCGGCGUGCUUAACACAUGCAAGUCGAACGGAAAGGCCCUGCUUUUGUGGGGUGCUCGAGUGGCGAACGGGUGAGUAACACGUGAGUAACCUGCCCUUGACUUUGGGAUAACUUCAGGAAACUGGGGCUAAUACCGGAUAGGAGCUCCUGCUGCAUGGUGGGGGUUGGAAAGUUUCGGCGGUUGGGGAUGGACUCGCGGCUUAUCAGCUUGUUGGUGGGGUAGUGGCUUACCAAGGCUUUGACGGGUAGCCGGCCUGAGAGGGUGACCGGCCACAUUGGGACUGAGAUACGGCCCAGACUCCUACGGGAGGCAGCAGUGGGGAAUAUUGCACAAUGGGCGGAAGCCUGAUGCAGCAACGCCGCGUGCGGGAUGACGGCCUUCGGGUUGUAAACCGCUUUCGCCUGUGACGAAGCGUGAGUGACGGUAAUGGGUAAAGAAGCACCGGCUAACUACGUGCCAGCAGCCGCGGUGAUACGUAGGGUGCGAGCGUUGUCCGGAUUUAUUGGGCGUAAAGGGCUCGUAGGUGGUUGAUCGCGUCGGAAGUGUAAUCUUGGGGCUUAACCCUGAGCGUGCUUUCGAUACGGGUUGACUUGAGGAAGGUAGGGGAGAAUGGAAUUCCUGGUGGAGCGGUGGAAUGCGCAGAUAUCAGGAGGAACACCAGUGGCGAAGGCGGUUCUCUGGGCCUUUCCUGACGCUGAGGAGCGAAAGCGUGGGGAGCGAACAGGCUUAGAUACCCUGGUAGUCCACGCUGUAAACGGUGGGUACUAGGUGUGGGGUCCAUUCCACGGGUUCCGUGCCGUAGCUAACGCUUUAAGUACCCCGCCUGGGGAGUACGGCCGCAAGGCUAAAACUCAAAGGAAUUGACGGGGCCCCGCACAAGCGGCGGAGCAUGCGGAUUAAUUCGAUGCAACGCGUAGAACCUUACCUGGGUUUGACAUGGAUCGGGAGUGCUCAGAGAUGGGUGUGCCUCUUUUGGGGUCGGUUCACAGGUGGUGCAUGGCUGUCGUCAGCUCGUGUCGUGAGAUGUUGGGUUAAGUCCCGCAACGAGCGCAACCCUUGUUCACUGUUGCCAGCACGUUAUGGUGGGGACUCAGUGGAGACCGCCGGGGUCAACUCGGAGGAAGGUGGGGAUGACGUCAAGUCAUCAUGCCCCUUAUGUCCAGGGCUUCACGCAUGCUACAAUGGCUGGUACAGAGAGUGGCGAGCCUGUGAGGGUGAGCGAAUCUCGGAAAGCCGGUCUCAGUUCGGAUUGGGGUCUGCAACUCGACCUCAUGAAGUCGGAGUCGCUAGUAAUCGCAGAUCGGCAACGCCGCGGUGAAUACGUUCCCGGG